Molecule: non-coding RNA, 2543 nt
Organism: Pelobates cultripes (western spadefoot toad)
Lineage: Eukaryota; Metazoa; Chordata; Amphibia; Anura; Pelobatidae
Source: the annotation of a GenBank genome assembly
AGAGAAGAACAAAACACACAAAAAAAAACAAAAAACAUGGAAGUAUCUGGCUGUGUAACAUCAGCAGAUUGUUUUGAACUUGCUAAGCUAGGCAGUCUUGUGGUUAGUUUUGUUACGUUUAACAAAAAUUAUGUUAAAUAUAUGGCAUUGCAUUUCUGAGAAGGUCUAACAUGUAUACUUAUGCCCGAAUUCUAACUGCGUAAAUUCUUGUUUUAGUUGAGAGUAUUUUUAAAUACUUUAAAGUGAGGCAGGUUAAACAAUACAUUUUGUUGUGAAAACAUGAGAAUAUCUGGCUUUAUAACAUCAAUAGAUUAUUUUAAUCUUGCUAAGCGAAACAGGCUUAUGAUUAAUUCAAAUGUGUUGAAGGUUAUGUCAAAUACAUGGCAUUGCGAUUCUGAGAGGGUCAAUCUGUUAUACCUAUGCCAUAAUUAUAACUGCUUAUAUUCUUUCUGUUGUUAAGAGUCAAGAUAUGUAUGGCAGGUAAAAAACGAAGAAAAAGAAAGAAAAAAAGAAAAAAAGAGAAAAAAAAAAACUAUAAACAUACUGCCUAAGGUCACCCACGUUGUGUGUCAUACGUGGCUAUCGGUAAAGUAUUGCAGUAGGUUUACAGGCUAUAUAAUUACUACAUGCAAAUUGUAGAUUUGGGUGCUAAUAUACACAUGCUUGAGUACUCUGGUCUUGGAAGCCUCAAUGGGUACAAGAGAGGGUGACCAGAGGCAGGCUGGCCAAACAAAUACACAUUGGUACAUAUAUAUUAGACGUGUUCAGGCUAUAUAUUUAUGUGAGGUCUAAUGCUGGUUGCCCUUAAAAGCGGUCUAGACAUAAGAGCAAGUUGAGCAUGUCUAGUGGGUCUCGGGAUUAAAAGCAGAAAAGAAAUAAACUAAAAAUAAAGAUAAAAUUAUCCUUUUUCUUCCCUUUUCUUCACCUUCCUUUUCCCUUUUCUAAGUAAUUGUAAAAGUAAAAAUAGUCUCCGUAUUUCUGGCCUGAGUCUGUCCACCUAGCCCAGUUGGGGCAGGGACACAGGGUUGUCCGGGAGCGGGGGGUCUUCAUUGGAAUUGGGGGGCUUUGGUCUGUUUUAUCAGGUCUCCGUAGUCCUGUCCGGUUGUGCCAGUCCUGGUUCGAGGUAGCUCGGCAGCUAGUGUCAGUGGGUCGCAAGUUGUGUACUAUGUCCUUACCGAAGCCAGGCGGCGGAUCCGAGACUCUGACAGGUGAGUAUCUCUGUGCCUCUAUGUCGUGAUUGUUGAAUAUGUGUCCGGCGUAGAGCUUUGGGAGAUGAAUGGGGCGAUCCGAUCUGGGUCCCGGGUAUGGGUGCAGUUAGGGGAGCUGUUGUUAUCCUUGUUGGCCAGUCUUGCUGGGGACAGCAAUUCUUGAGGUAGGUCCAAGAGCCGAAGGAAGGCCGGGGCGUCCCGAAUGUCCUGAAUGUUAUGCAAGUUCGAUCCUCGCUGGACUGUCAAUGCUCUGGGGGACCGCCAGCGGUAAUCAAUCUUGCAGGCACGAAGAAUUAAGGUGAGUGGCCGUAGCGACCUACGCCAGGCCAGGGUGCCGCUGGACAGGUCUGUGUAGAGUGAGAGGUCCAUGUUUUCGAAGCGGAAGGGGGUCCUGCCUCGGAGAGCAGACAGGAUCGCCACCUUAUGUCCGCUAUUGCGGAGGGUCAGGAUGACAUCUCUCGUGGCCGUGGGUGGUGCGUUUGUUGGUUUAGGGACUCUGAAGACCCUUUCUGGGGUGAUUGUUGAUUUCUGUCGUCGUGGCAGUAUUUCUAGUAACAUCUGCUCCAUUAGUUUAGGCAGUUCGGCCUCUGUAAUGUCCUCACGGACUCCCCUGAUUUUAAUGUUGGAAGCCCACCUGGCGUCCUCGAGCGCCACAAGGCGAUGUUCGUAUUGCUGGGUCUGCUGUUCCAGGGCUUGUACGGUGUGUUGUACUGCAGCAACCUCCUGGGCCUGGGAUUGUGAGGAGCCCUCCAGUUUGGGCCUUUCAAGUCUGCGCGGAGCGCUGUGACAUCCUCGUGGAAGCUGCGUUUCAGGUCCGUCAGUAAUGCCUUCAGGACCAAUAUGGUGAUCGGCUCUGUGUCUGACCCUUUGCCGCCUUGUUGUGCCUUUUGUGGUGGGUUAGGAGGCUGUGAGAGUCCCCCCUCUUCCUCAUCGGAUAUGUCCUCAGAGAAAUCCGAGCACCCACCGUGCUGAGCCGCCAUGUUUGUUUCGGAGGCUCCACGUGCUUGCCUCCACAUCUCCCCUAUUGUAAGUCCCGAGGUGGCUUGUGUGGUAUCGUUUUCUUCCCCUUUCUCCCCAUUAGGUCUUGGGGUGUUUGCCUGUCUAUUGGGAUGUUAAGGGGGGGUAUUUCAUGCGUUUUUCUCUGUUUAAGACUCAGAGCUCCCUUAGCUUGCGUCCGUUCGCUUCAGUGUUCAAACUUGUUCCCUUCUUAAGGGUAACAAUCUACACUCUCUCCCACUACUACUGAUAGUAUGGGUCUAGUUUUGUUCUAUUGGUGGAUACUAUUCACUAGGGGUUACCCCCCAUUCAUAAGUUUCAUAUAUACCAAUUUUCAAC